This 253-nucleotide ribosomal RNA is filed under the name uncultured bacterium. Its description in RNAcentral is "partial 16S ribosomal RNA". It matches the Rfam family "Bacterial small subunit ribosomal RNA", at positions 524 to 776 of the family's 1533-position model. The record is from RNAcentral.
UACGGAAGGGGCUAGCGUUGUUCGGAAUUACUGGGCGUAAAGCGCACAUAGGCGGCUUUGUAAGUUAGAGGUGAAAGCCUGGGGCUCAACUCCAGAACUGCCUUUAAGACUGCAUCGCUUGAAUCAUGGAGAGGCGGGUGGAAUUCCGAGUGUAGAGGUGAAAUUCGUAGAUAUUCGGAAGAACACCAGUGGCGAAGGCGGCCCGCUGGACAUGUAUUGACGCUGAGGUGCGAAAGCGUGGGGAGCAAACAGG